This 206-nucleotide ribosomal RNA is filed under the name uncultured bacterium. RNAcentral describes it as "partial 16S ribosomal RNA". It matches the Rfam family "Bacterial small subunit ribosomal RNA", at positions 1285 to 1500 of the family's 1533-position model. The record is from RNAcentral.
UUCUCAGUUCGGAUUGUAGGCUGCAACUCGCCUACAUGAAGUCGGAGUUGCUAGUAAUCGCGGAUCAGAAUGCCGCGGUGAAUGCGUUCCCGGGUCUUGUACACACCGCCCGUCACACCAUGGAAGUUGGGGGCGCCCGAAGUUGCCUAAGAAAUAAGGUACCUAAGGCGAAACCAAUGACUGGGGUGAAGUCGUAACAAGGUAAC